Long non-coding RNA from Parus major (Great Tit), 1999 nucleotides. NCBI's taxonomy places the organism in Eukaryota, Metazoa, Chordata, Aves, Passeriformes, Paridae. The record is from Ensembl.
GUAGUAAAGUCUCACAUGGUGGUUUUUUUUCUAUUCUGGGAACUAUAACUAAACUAUUUUAGCAGAAAAGACAUAUACACUUAUCAUGACAGGCUUUAUGACAGGUUUUAUGACUUAUUAACCAGCAGCAACAGAAUGACUGAGACAGCAUCUACAGCAGCAGAGAAAUUGGAAGAUGGCUCCACUGGGAAUACUUUUUUGUGAUCUAGUAUUUUCCAAGGGAACGUUAUGAGACACAGGGAGGAAUUUCAUGUCUAUUUUGAUGCACAGCCUGUAGAUAAAAUCUGGGAUUGUACUGCUAUAUUACAAGUAUUUUAUUAUGAUUCUAAAAACCUCAGUCAGUAUAUAUCUGCAUGGAUCGGGCACAUAGAGACUCUAACAGCAUUUGUUCAGCUAAGGGUGACUUAAGAGUCAAAAAAAUAUUCAGAAAAAGUUUCUCCUCUGAACUCAUAUGUGGGAAUAAGAGGUUCUAUUAGAUCUUAUGGUAAACAGAAUUCAGAAGUAGAAAUAAUGUUAAAAUGUAUGCCUUGAUAAAGUUUGAAAGGAAGUGAAAAUGCAUAUUCAGACAGCAACACUGAAGUCAUAUCAUGUGCACCUAGGAAGAAAUUAUGAAAACUGUUCUCACCUGCAUAAAUAUUGAUGUUCCUUGAUGACAAAUAUUAUUAUUUUAAUGGUGGCACUCUGAGUCCAGUCAUCAAGCUGAGCUCUUCCCCUUAGGUGUGCUGAUAUUGCCUUGGAAGCAUUACAGUGGCCAGCUGGAGGAGGCAUGGUGUGCUCCCUGUGUGAACGGCGCCAGUGAGAGCAAGGUGUGAGCGGAGAUGGAGAUAGCUGUUGGAUGGUCAGGAGCAGCAUACUUGUGUGGAUGAGGUCCAGCAUACUCUCAGAACAGUUUUGUCUAAAUAAACUGGGCUUACACUUUUCAGCACUCCUGAGAUACUUAAAAACACAUUUCUAUAAGCCCCAAGGAGAUACAGGUGGCUUCUGCUCACGGGAAGCUGCACUCCAAUUACAGCAGGAGCACCAGUGGGCCAGCGGUGCCAGCACUGCAGGAACAGGGUGAAACCUCGCUUCGAGACCAUGGAUGAGGAGUGGGGCAUGGAGAGCUCUGCUCCCAGGUCUGUCAGUAAUUUACUGGUACAAAAGUACCAUUGGGGCCAGUUGUAGAGGGCUGGAGCUGAAACAACAAGCCAAGCAUCAGGGGAAAAAAAUCUAUUUACAAAUGACAGUUGCCAGUGGUUGGGCAAUAGGAGAUUCUCCAACGUGGUUAAAGGAUGGAAAUAAUGUUUCAGAGACAAAGGAAUAACAGUGGUUUUUUACAGUUUUAAGGUAUAAAUUGUUCUAAGUACCACUCUGGAAAAAGGUAUUUUACAAGAGUUAAGCCGCAACCAAACUUCACAAAAAUCAAAUUUAUUUCAGGCUCAGUUAGUGACUUUCUGGCUCAAGGAAGCAUGGCCUUAGGGUGGCAUGGACAACUUCAUGUCACAUCCCUUCCUCUGUGCUGGUUUUCUCAGGUUCCUGAGCUGUACUUCUUUCUCCUCACCUUUGAGCCAUUUGUGCCCCCUGCACCGUGCAUGCGCCCCACCACAGAGUAGUUCAUAACAGGACAAGGUCAUGUUUCUGCAGAGGUUGCAGGGUCACCAGAAUUCACAUUUCUUUCUAGCCACAUGUCAUUUCUCUCCUGGCAUGGAAAAAGUAAUUAGCUUCCCCAUCCCCCCCAUACUGAGAACAGAGUUCAUUUCCUUUGAGAGGAAGGGUGCCGCUUCCUUUCUUUACUGGGUGAACAUCAGCAAAUGAAAAUCAUUACUGGUUCACUCAAUAUAUUUGUCAGGAGACAUUUUAGCUGAUUGUUUUGAGUGAAGGGAAAUUCCUUUCACAGGACAUUGCCUCACAAACCCUCAGUCUGAUGUUCAGAGAGAAAAUGAAGCUGAAAAUGAUGGCUAUCACCCACUUGAGGCAGAAACAUUUUUAACAUGGUUCCAUAAGAUGCAGGGCAAUUUCU